Hyla sarda is the source of this 695-nucleotide long non-coding RNA. RefSeq lists it as uncharacterized. The record is from RefSeq and is a predicted model, not a curated record. Lineage: Eukaryota; Metazoa; Chordata; Amphibia; Anura; Hylidae. The transcript has 4 exons.
AAAUAAUGGGGGGACAUCUGCUGCAAACCUAAUGGGAGGGACAUGUGGUGCUACCCACUGGAAAAGUGUGGAGCCUAAAAUGUUUUUUUCCCCGCCAUGUUCUACAGAAAUGAGUCGUAGCCGGAAGAAAUCAUCAUGGCGUCUGAAAGGAGAAAAAGGAAAGCGAACGACUGCGAUCAGAGAUGACGUCACCUUAUAUAACUAAUGAUUCCUCCCCCGUAAUGUGGAUUUCCAUAUGAAUUAUGUGUAAAUGAUGGCCGGCGGGGACGACUCGGGGUAUGAAGAAGAGAAUAUGAGGUCCAGAAAACAGAGAUUCCAAGACUCUCAGCUUCCUGUCUGACAUCAUUUUAUACUGUAGGAACACGGAGGGGAAAAAGUCAGUCAUCCCAGCCAGUCAGAUGCCAUCCUCCGCAUUGACAUGACACAGCCCGCAGUAUCUACCGGCAGCCAUAAGAAUCAAACUCCUUCACCGCCAACCCUGUUCUUCACAAGAGCACAAGCUGCAACUUCCUGGAGAAACGCGCAAAAUCGCUCUUUUAUGCUGUCAUUUUUUUCUUUAUUAAAGCAAAAUUUUGUGAGUUUUCAGGAAAAAACAGGAGGUGCACAGACGCACAGCAAUCCCCAUACCCCUCCCUGCAACCUGAAGAGAAAGAACAGCAGAAUGCAUAUAUCUUUCUAUAAGGAGUGGUGCUGCC